AUCCUCACCUGUCAGGGGAGAUACCAUGAGCACAAAGGUGGUUUUCCUAGAUUGAGGCUCAUCUAUUGCACCCUGGGUGUGCUGAUACCCCAUAUUUCCACAAACAGGGGAGACUCGACUGCAUAAUUUGUGUACAUAGGGGACUGAGUUUGCACUUUCCCUGA
RNAcentral lists this small nuclear RNA (164 nucleotides) under Gorilla gorilla gorilla (western lowland gorilla). RNAcentral describes it as "U1 spliceosomal RNA (ENSGGOG00000032345.2)". It matches the Rfam family "U1 spliceosomal RNA". From Rfam's summary of the family: U1 is a small nuclear RNA (snRNA) component of the spliceosome (involved in pre-mRNA splicing). Lineage: Eukaryota; Metazoa; Chordata; Mammalia; Primates; Hominidae. The record is from Rfam by way of RNAcentral.